RNAcentral lists this ribosomal RNA (253 nucleotides) under uncultured bacterium. Its description in RNAcentral is "partial 16S ribosomal RNA". It matches the Rfam family "Bacterial small subunit ribosomal RNA", at positions 524 to 776 of the family's 1533-position model. The record is from RNAcentral.
UACGUAGGGGGCAAGCGUUGUCCGGAAUCAUUGGGCGUAAAGAGCGUGUAGGCGGCUCGAUAAGUCUGCUGUGAAAGACCAGGGCUCAACCCUGGAAGGCCGGUGGAAACUGUCGGGCUAGAGUCCGGAAGAGGCGAGUGGAAUUCCCGGUGUAGCGGUGAAAUGCGCAGAUAUCGGGAGGAACACCAAUGGCGAAGGCAGCUCGCUGGGACGGUACUGACGCUGAGACGCGAAAGCGUGGGGAGCAAACAGG